GCGAUGGUGAUUACAUCUGUGGCUGGAGGAUUUUGCUGCAUUCGUUCUUGGUGCAAAAUCCCUUGGACUUUGCCUGUCGAAGCCCUAGCAGGUAUAGCCAUUCGGAUUGGUAGGGUCCUUGAUGUGGUGAAGCGGUUGGAAAAACACCUAAGCUUGUAUGGACAAAAGGUAGGUCUAGAUGCACGAGGAACUAAAAUCUAUGUAAGUGACAUUGAAUGAAUUGACAAAAAAAAAUGUAGAUACUCCUCAUGAGGAUGGAGGACAAGGUAAGGAUGAGGAA
This is a non-coding RNA of Camellia sinensis, 280 nucleotides long. The record is from RefSeq and is a predicted model, not a curated record. NCBI's taxonomy places the organism in Eukaryota, Viridiplantae, Streptophyta, Magnoliopsida, Ericales, Theaceae.